Molecule: ribosomal RNA, 359 nt
Filed under: Lophyrotoma analis
Lineage: Eukaryota; Metazoa; Arthropoda; Insecta; Hymenoptera; Pergidae
Description: partial 12S ribosomal RNA
Source: RNAcentral
UUAAGAAAAAUCAAUAAUAAUAAAUUAUUAAUAAUUUAUAAAUUUUAAAAUUAAAGAAUUUGGCGGUAUUUUUUCUAAUUAGGGGAAUUUGUCUUUUAAAUGAUAAUCCACGAGGAACCUUACUUUUUUUAAAAAUUUAUGUAUUUCCGUUAUAAGAAAAUUUUUUAAAAAUAUAAAAUUUUCUAAGUUUUUCAAAAAAAAUUAUUUCAGGUCAAAGUAUAGUUUAUAAAAUAGUAAAGAUGAAUUACAAUAAAUUUUUUAUUUAUUAAUGGAUAAUUUAAUUAAAUUUAUUUUUGAAGGUGGACUUAAUAGUAAAUUUAGUUUAAAGAUGAAUAAAUUGAAAAAGAAUUAAAUUAUGU